AGUGAACGCUGGCGGUAGGCCUAACACAUGCAAGUCGAACGGCAGCACAGUAAGAGCUUGCUCUUACGGGUGGCGAGUGGCGGACGGGUGAGGAGUACAUCGGAAUCUACUUUUUCGGGGGGGAUAACGUAGGGAAACUUACGCUAAUACCGCAUACGACCUACGGGUGAAAGCAGGGGAUCUUCGGACCUUGCGCGAUUGAAUGAGCCGAUGUCGGAUUAGCUAGUUGGCGGGGUAAAGGCCCACCAAGGCGACGAUCCGUAGCUGGUCUGAGAGGAUGAUCAGCCACACUGGAACUGAGACACGGUCCAGACUCCUACGGGAGGCAGCAGUGGGGAAUAUUGGACAAUGGGCGCAAGCCUGAUCCAGCCAUACCGCGUGGGUGAAGAAGGCCUUCGGGUUGUAAAGCCCUUUUGUUGGGAAAGAAAAGCAGCAGGUUAAUCCCCCGCUGUUCUGACGGUACCCAAAGAGUAAGCACCGGCUAACUUCGUG
This 492-nucleotide ribosomal RNA is filed under the name uncultured bacterium. RNAcentral's name for it is "partial 16S ribosomal RNA". It matches the Rfam family "Bacterial small subunit ribosomal RNA", at positions 29 to 507 of the family's 1533-position model. The record is from RNAcentral.